UACGUAGGGAGCAAGCGUUGUUCGGAUUUACUGGGCGUAAAGGGCGCGUAGGCGGCGCGGUAAGUCACUUGUGAAAUCUCUGAGCCUAACUCAGAACGGCCAAGUGAUACUGCAGUGCUAGAGUGCAGAAGGGGCAAUCGGAAUUCUUGGUGUAGCGGUGAAAUGCGUAGAUAUCUGGAGGAACACCGGUGGCGAAGGCGGCGUUCUGGACUGUAUCUGACACUGAGGAACGAAAGCCAGGGGAGCAAACGGG
RNAcentral lists this ribosomal RNA (253 nucleotides) under uncultured bacterium. RNAcentral's name for it is "partial 16S ribosomal RNA". It matches the Rfam family "Bacterial small subunit ribosomal RNA", at positions 524 to 776 of the family's 1533-position model. The record is from RNAcentral.